GAUAUUAUUCAAUCAGACACAAAAAAUAGUUGGAAAUAACAAUGGAUAUUUGAAAUUCUAAUUGCAUCACUGGAAGGUAGCGAGAACUGAGAAUCAUACCUAACAAUUUUUUUUCAAAGCACAUAUGUACCAACACCUUUAAGGACCAGCAGAUUAGCGCCGCUAUGCAAAGAGACGGGUCCAGCACCUUCGCUUCUGC
Molecule: long non-coding RNA, 199 nt
Filed under: Hordeum vulgare
Lineage: Eukaryota; Viridiplantae; Streptophyta; Magnoliopsida; Poales; Poaceae
Description: long non-coding RNA (HVUL_LNC000745)
Source: RNAcentral